GAUGAACGCUGGCGGCGUGCCUAAUACAUGCAAGUCGAGCGAACGGACGAGAAGCUUGCUUCUCUGAUGUUAGCGGCGGACGGGUGAGUAACACGUGGAUAACCUACCUAUAAGACUGGGAUAACUUCGGGAAACCGGAGCUAAUACCGGAUAAUAUUUUGAACCGCAUGGUUCAAAAGUGAAAGACGGUCUUGCUGUCACUUAUAGAUGGAUCCGCGCUGCAUUAGCUAGUUGGUAAGGUAACGGCUUACCAAGGCAACGAUGCAUAGCCGACCUGAGAGGGCGAUCGGCCACACUGGAACUGAGGCACGGUCCAGACUCCUACGGGAGGCAGCAGUAGGGAAUCUUCCGCAAUGGGCGAAAGCCUGACGGAGCAACGCCGCGUGAGUGAUGAAGGUCUUCGGAUCGUAAAACUCUGUUAUUAGGGAAGAACAUAUGUGUAAGUAACUGUGCACAUCUUGACGGUACCUAAUCAGAAAGCCACGGCUAACUACGUG
RNAcentral lists this ribosomal RNA (497 nucleotides) under uncultured bacterium. RNAcentral's name for it is "partial 16S ribosomal RNA". It matches the Rfam family "Bacterial small subunit ribosomal RNA", at positions 28 to 507 of the family's 1533-position model. The record is from RNAcentral.